Molecule: ribosomal RNA, 497 nt
Filed under: uncultured bacterium
Lineage: Bacteria
Description: partial 16S ribosomal RNA
Rfam family: Bacterial small subunit ribosomal RNA
Source: RNAcentral
GAUGAACGCUGGCGGCGUGCCUAAUACAUGCAAGUCGAGCGAACGGUCGAGAAGCUUGCUUCUCUGAUGUUAGCGGCGGACGGGUGAGUAACACGUGGAUAACCUACCUAUAAGACUGGGAUAACUUCGGGAAACCGGAGCUAAUACCGGAUAAUAUUUUGAACCGCAUGGUUCAAAAGUGAAAGACGGUCUUGCUGUCACUUAUAGAUGGAUCCGCGCUGCAUUAGCUAGUUGGUAAGGUAACGGCUUACCAAGGCAACGAUGCAUAGCCGACCUGAGAGGGUGGACGGCCACACUUGAACUGAGACCCGGUCCAGGCCCCUACGGGAGGCAGGCGUAGGGAAUCUUCCGGAAUGGGGGGAAGCCUGGAGGAGCAAAGGCGGGGGAGGGAAUAAGGUUUUCGGAUCGGAAAACUCUGGUAUUAGGGAAGAACAAAUGUUGAAGGAACUGUUCACCGCUUGACGGUAACUAAUCAGAAAGGCACGGCUAACUACGUU